UAGGCAAAAGUAAAUCUAUUCCUUUUUGCACUAUUAACAGAAAACUCAACUAAGCAGCAUAAGUAAUUAACUUCAAACUCAGAAUUAUCUGACUAUGCAGAGGACAUUUGAAAGGAUGCGUAAAUAACUUAAUUGAAAAAAAACACAUAACGCCCACCCCUCCAAAUUUCGUUCCGGACCCAGAAACAUGAAUAAGUGAAAUAAGUGCAAAUGCUAUAGGAACAUGAGAAACGAGCAAGGAGAUAGUCACAUAUUCAAACAAUAACAAAUGAAUAGACUAAAAAUAGACAUUUAGAAUUGCAAAUUCAAAACAAUAUCUGAAGGCGUUUUAAAGAAUACAUACUUAGCUGCACAUGGUUCAAAUUUAGAAAAAGGAAAAGAGCCAAGUAAAGGCCGACAUCAGGAACCGGAGCAAAACAACCAGAAAAUAGCAGAUCCCAGCAGAAAAAUAGCAGAGGAACAACUUCAAAUUGUCCCAAUAUCAGCUUGAAACCAAGAAUAUGAUGAAGUGAAAUGACAGAAUUUAAGAAGCACUUUUGAAACCUCUUUUUUGUGGUUUUUGUUUUUGAUUUUCUGGAGUGUUUUUAAUCUUCAGAUCUGAAAAUUUCUAUCAAAUUCAUCCCCCUCUAAACGUGUGAGAGAGUGAGUGUAUCCAGAUGUAAUUAGUGAAAGAGUGUAUAGCUGAAGAUAGGUGACGGAGAAGAGAGGAGCUACCCGAUUUUCCAAGGAUCUCUUCUUGUGUUAUCGUAACAGUGGAGAUAUAGCCCUUCAAAUUAUCAAAUGCAUCGUUCUUUUGUAUCUGGGUCUAAGGGUCCCCAAGAAAAUGGCCAAAUCUGAUCUUAGUCAAUAGGUCUUAACUAUGUCAAAUAGAGCUAGGGUUAUUUUAAUGACAGGGAAUAG
This 900-nucleotide long non-coding RNA is filed under the name Nicotiana benthamiana. Its description in RNAcentral is "long non-coding RNA (NBEN_LNC016645)". The record is from RNAcentral. Lineage: Eukaryota; Viridiplantae; Streptophyta; Magnoliopsida; Solanales; Solanaceae.